Molecule: long non-coding RNA, 389 nt
Filed under: Mytilus galloprovincialis (Mediterranean mussel)
Lineage: Eukaryota; Metazoa; Mollusca; Bivalvia; Mytilida; Mytilidae
Source: RNAcentral
GCUGUUAUAUAUGUUUUUAUUAUGGCUAAACUAAACUUUGAAGAAUCAAGGAUUAAUUUGGUAUAGUAAAAUACCCUUUUGGUUCACCUAAGUUGGAAUACCCUGAAUAAUCCCCCUUGUAGUUUAGUUUUGAUUGUUUUCACUUAGAAUAUAAGUCGAAAAAACUGACAAACGUCAUUUAGAUUUUUGCAAUUCGCAAAACUGCCAUUCAAAUAUGCUUUACUAAAAUAGGUGUCUUGUAGGCAGUUUAUAAUGUGACCAUGUGUCUCUUUUGGACCCCACAAUUCAUCUUUUAGGUUUGUGUGGCUAAAAAAAAAAGAAGUAGGUCAAAAAAUUUGUUCUCAUCUUGAUUAAAAAGACUUACUCAUUUUUUAGCACAACUCAAAAAC